AGUGCUACAGCAGCGGAUGUGAAGCAGGACAAGGGGAACGUCUACCCAGUGUCUGAGCCCUCCUUCACCCCAAACUUCCCACCACGGCCAUCCAGUCUGUGCUGACCUAUCCUUGGGAAUUCUCAGCACCCACACUUGUUGGAAGCUCAGCAUCCUCCAUGGCUGGAGCACUGCAAGCCCUGGGUGCAGGGCCUUGCUGGAGAUGGAGACCCCAUCCCUGAGAUGCAGAAGUGAUGCCCCUGCAGCAGCAUGUGAAGGAGCUCCGCACCAUGGUCAUGGGAGCUGAGAGCACUGCUGCAGCAGGAUGCUGAUGGGAGAUGUGACCCUUACCAGGAAACAGCAUUGUCUCUGCAGACACACCAUGGCCAACCAAGGACUUCUCCCAAGCAUAGGCCCCAAGACAUAGAGGAAGAGAAUGAGACUGGCUCCAACCCCAUCCCAGGGGACACCCCUAUGGCGAGGCCCAUGCGAGGAGCAGUUUGGGGGCUGGAAGCUGCCGGCAGCUGGUUCCUAUAUUCAAGCCUUUGUACACACACACACACACAUAGAGUAAAAUCAAGCCAUGGGAUGGGGAUGGGGCUCGAUGGUGGGGGGGCUCUGGUGAGCACUCAGAGGAGGUAGGACCUGCCAAUGCUCAGAGCUGCUGCUGUUUGCACACCUUUGGAGGGGGUGAUGUGAAGUUGGAUGGAGUCUCCUUGGACUGGGGAGUAUCUCACUGGGCAGAGCAUUGCUGGGCUUGGAAAGGACUGACAGUGGGAGAGCAAGCGGAAAUGCAGGCAUAGGGAAGGGAAGCAACGCACUGAAGGUCAUCCCUGGGCCAGCAGCAGAACCAGGAAUAAAAUCCAGGUGUGCUGAGCUGGUCCUGGGGUUGUAUCCACACAUGUGCUCGUAUUAACACUGCUGUCCCUGGGCAAGAGCCACUAAUGGUAGAAGUAGUUUCCUAAAGCCAUCAGUACCUUCCGGAGCCAUGCCACAGGCUGCAGGACUGGUUUGCAUCUUAAACAAAGAGAGGUCUGGAUAUUUGGGGUCUCCUUUCCCUCCCAGCAUCUUCCAAGCCCUGCUGGGUAGAUAAGGAAUGCUGUUGGAUGCUGGCUGAUAAGGCAGAGUGGUUAAAAACACUGCCUUUAUUUGGAAGCUUAUCUCCAAAUCCUAAUGAAAACAGACACAGAGGGAAGCCGGGGACAACAGAGAGGGAAGACUCACACCCCAGCACUGCAGGGACUGGGAUGGGUGAUGCUGAGCAAUGGGAUCUGGUCAGGUUUGGAGUCUGAGUGGCUGCUGCAUAUGGUGAGGGUGAGAUUUAAAAGCUUUGGGGCAAACCCAAGGAUCCAGGGCAAGACCAUUGGGUCCCAAGAGCCUGCAGGGGCAGCUGUGGUCCCCUCUGAGCACCCCGAAUUGGGCAUCCUCCCUCGUUUGUUUGUUUUCCUUUAGUGAGGGGCUCGCUGAGGAAGAAAAACCUUGAAACCAAGGAAACAAGGGAGACAAAAAGGAGAAUGUCGGCUCCUGCAAGGCAGAGCGAGCUGGCUCCAGCACCCUGGGGUGAGGGUGGGUGCUGCCCCUGCUGCCCUGAGCCCCCCUCUGUGGCUGGGGGCAAGAAGGUGACAAGGGUGAGAUGCACUAAGGUGAAAGGAAGGUUCUUGUGCAGGAAGGGAACCCUGAAGGGUUCUGAGCUGCUCAGGAGGAGCUGCUUUGGUGCAAGGCAGAUGGUGGAGGAGGUGAGCAGAGGUUUUAGGGGAUGCUGUGAGGCAGGGAGCAGCUAUGGCAGGCUCCACAAUCCCACAAAAACCUGGACUUUCCAGACCCCAAAAUAGCAUUCCCAGACCCAAACUUACGGGGUAGUGGGACUGGGAAGACGGGGGAUGAGAGGUGUGUGUGUGGGGGGAUGAAGUCGUGGCUGUGCCAAGCCCCAUAAAUCACAGCGGUGCGGAGCAAAGCUCCAUCGAAGGAAAUUCUUCCUUGCCAGACUGGGAUAUUUCCCCUCAACAGCCUCAGUUUUCCCCAUCAAGCCGUAGAGAAGUGGGAUCUUGACUACAGCAAGUGCAAAACCUGACCGGGGAGCCUGGUGUCACGCAGGAGGGGUUCAGUGCCCUGCAGCCCACAGUGAUGGGGCUGCUCCAGAGCAGUGCGAAGGGCUCCGGGAUGCGCACCACCAUCACCCCAGCAUCCGUGGCCAUCCAUGCAGGCCCGGCUCGGCGGUGCUGGGGCAGUGUAAGCUGAUAUUUCCCUGCGCGUCCCCCCGAGGGUUUUUUCCAUUACAGCGGCAGAGCGGAGCCGCCGCUCUCCGGCUCCCCCGCCUGCAACCUCUGGCUCCGCUUUUCCAGCGGCACAUUGUGCAAAUGUAACCUUUCAGCGAGCCGCUCCUACGGCAGGAAGCCGGGGGGCUCCGCUCCUGCCAGGAACGCAGCCGGCGCGGAGCUGGAAGGCAGCCCGUUAAUCAGAGCCGGCUGACAGCGAAGCACACAUCCUGGGCAACACAUUCCUGCUCCCUCUCCAUCGCCUUCCCUCUCCAUCGCGCUGCAGCGGCGCGCUCCUGCCCUUCAUCCCGCCCGCUUCCACAGCCUCAUCCUCCUCCUGACCGCUGGGAUCGUGCCCCUCCGCUCAACGUGCCAAGCGGGAGGUGCCCUCGCUGCUCGGUGUGAAGCCAGUUGGGGACCAAGAGAACGGGAUUGGUUGGGUAGAGCAAUGGCAACCAUGCCAAGACAUGGACUGAGGCAUCGUGCCCAUUGACCGCUGGGAUGCUCAGGGAUGCUGUGCUGGCACAUAGGACACAUGUGUGGUCGUGGUGCUCCCCAGGACAUUGAACAGGGUCCCCCAUAGAUUCAUAGAAUAGUUAGGGUUGGAAAGGACCUUAAGAUCAUCUAGUUCCAACCACCCUGCCCAGGGGCUCCCUAUGACACUGUGGUUAGGGCUAUGCCCCACACCAUUGGGUCACCAUCAUGUUCCUCUUGCCUUGAGCAUGGUGGCAGCACUUCGAGGCAUCACUGUGCCAACCUUCUGCCUGCUGUAGAAUCCAAAUGGGAGCUUUUAUCUCCCCCCGGGCAGCAAAGAUCUCAGAGGGGGCUUCUCCUGCAUUUGUGCCCAGCUUUGGGCCCACCAGCACAUCCACACCAGUGGUGGGAGCUGCUGCCCCUCGGGAAGGGUUUAUCCCUGGCUCAUGUCCUUGGGGCCACAGCAGCUCCUCGCAGCACACUAGGGCUCAGUGUGUAGAGCUUGGCAGCUUCUCUCUGGGCUGAGUCAGAGCUCAAAAGACCCAAGGGCUGCAUCCCCAGUGGAUGCAUUGGCCAAGGCCGUUGGUGGUGCCAGCUUGGGUGCUGUUCUCCAGGUGCCAAACACACUCUGGUGCACAGGUAAAGCCCAGUGAGGAGAAUAGGGUUGAAGAAACCCAGUCGUUGCUUUAACCCAUGCAACAGGCUCCCUUUGGUGCCGGAGGAGUGCAGGGCAGCACUGGUGUCCAGCACCGCUGCACUCUUGCUUUGGGCUUGCCAGGAGUGAAAGGCCACUGAAAAUGGUCCCAUCCAGUUCGGUUCCACCCCAACCCCUCCCACCCCACAGGACCAAGUGCUGAGGCUUUUUCUCCCCAGCAAAGUCCUCUUGGGAGCACCAGGGAUCCCUGCAGGAAGGUGCUGUGACUUUGGGGCAGGAUUUAUCCCCCUUCUAAUUGCAAAUGGAUAAACAUCAGCCAUCUAAGCAAGGAGGGGGGUUCUGUGCUCACAGGCAUGGCCGAGCAAAGAUGCAGGGGGCACUUCAUCCACCCCUGGGAUGGGUUUUGGCUGAGGAUGAGGGGUUUGAUUUCUGGAGCUGCGGAGCCUAUUGAUGGGUGCAAGGACCCUUCCAACCACCCUCAGGCUCAUCCCCAGCUCGGCUGAUGGGGCUGGUGCUGCAAACCCUGCCUGUGUUUCUCAUGUCUGAUUUCUCCCCAGGUUCGAAGCACUCGAUGUGCAGCAUUGUAGCAUCUGUUUUUGUGGUAUUUCCAGCCCAGCUGGAAGCAGGAGGCACUUGAAAUUCAGAGAUGGGGGAAAAAAAUAACAGAUCUGGUGAGAUUCUGUCUUCCUGCCAAAUUCACCAAACCCGGGAUGCGGGGAGAGCCCUGCCGCAGGCGCAGCAUCCAACGCUUCCCCUCUUCCUUGCUUCCUGCUCAUCCCAAACCAUCCUCUCAUUCCCAACUCACUUUCAGGACGCUGCACAAAGCCUGACCCUGCUGCUGGAGCCGGGGACGGGCAGAUAAUGCAGUCACUGGAUUUAUUUCACCUUUUCCUCUGGUUGUGGAUUGUCCAGGAGCAGAUGGUGAUUUUCUCAAGUGGAUCCGUUAUUCGAAGUCACUCACUGAGACUGCGAUGGCUCAAACAAAUCCAGGCCCCCUGCAAAGCCAUCAUUUGGUCUUCCCAUCUGCCCAGCCGCCGCUGCCGGCGUGGGCUCGGCUUCCGCCAGCGUGCCGGAGGGAAGUGGGAAGCAGGAGAGCCUCUGGAUGGGGUCAGUGCAGUGCCUACCCCUUCAUCCCUAAGCAGAGCCCAUGGAGUGCAAAGCUCUGCUCUGUCAGGGGUUGGGAGCCACAUCCCAGCUUUGUUGAGGGGGUUCGGGGGCAGUGCUGGCUUGUUCACACAGCGCCUGCCUGUGCCAGUGCUGGGGUGAGGGAGCUCACUGGGAUUGUGCCCAGGGACAAACUGGGAAGCUGCUUCUCAUGAGAAGAUACCAGGGGCUGUUUCUGCUGCACCUCCCUGCCUGGUGGGGGGGAAAUGGGUACUUCAGGGCUGUGAAACACCAAAACAGCCCCGGGAGCCCUCAUGUGGUCCUGGGGGCCCACAGGCUGGUGUCAGAGGCAGGGCUGGAGGUACCCAGGGUUUGUCCAUGCAGGGAUGUGCCCAGCUUUGGGUGAUGGACUUGAGAAAGGGACCUGCAGAAGCAGCCUGGGUCAGAGCCCUCCCAGUGCUGGUGGCACCUGGGUGGGAAGCCUGGACAGGUCCAUGAGGGAUGGGCUUUGCCUGGCAGGCUUCUGCCAACCUCUUUUGGUGCCUCUGAGGGGACCUGUGUGCCCACAGCUCUGCUCCAGGAAGGGGCCAGGAGCAGGUUUUGAUCCAGCACCAGGAUAACAUCCUCCCUUAGAACAUCAACCCAGUGUAAGUGUGAGGAUGGAGAGGGAUGGGGAGGAACACGUGGGUUCCCAAGCUCACUCAGCCCAGCAGUCAGGCCCUGGAGCUGGGGCAUCCUCAGCUUAACCCACCCAGAGACAGGCUGAGCUGGGGGGAACACUCCCACAGGGAUCUGCUCCCUCCUCUAGGCUGGAUUUGCCUUUUCUUAACUUCCCAUCUCCUCUUUUUCCCUCCCGGAGGGGACCCAGGGCUAUGAGGCCACACUGAGGGCACUGGGGGGCUACAAAGGCUUCACUUUGAAAUGCAGUUUCCUUUCCUCUCUCCACCUCCCAUGGGCUAAACAAAUACCCCCCAGCUGGGAGAUGCCUCCUACAUCCCACAGGCUUUUGUUCCCAGGCUUUUGUCCAGGCCUGGGGAAGGGGCCAGGACCCCCGUUCUCACCAGGGACACCCAUCUUUGGGGUCCUGGGGUGCUGAUGGGGAAGCAGGAGGUAAGAGCUGGCUGUGCCCCUGGCCACUUCAAUUGCACCCCAUGGAGGGCUCAUUUCAGGUUGUUGUUUUGGGGGGUAAAAAGUCGGUGGAUAAAACCCCUAUAAAGGCUCCAACAACCCGAAUGUGACCAAAGAUCAGUGCCAGCCUCAAACCUCCAUCACUGCCAGUGAAUCCCUUGCUCUGUGCAAAGGGAACACCUCAAUUAAAUCAAAGGUGAGGCUCCAAAUGAACCCACUGGAAACCAAACCCCAGCUUUACCAUGGAGCAAAGCAUCUCUCUGGUGUUGUUUGGAGGAUAAUAGGGUUGUUUGAAAUGUCCCUGUUCCUGCAUCACAACAAGGAAAUAAAUACCUUUCUUACUGUG
Molecule: long non-coding RNA, 5941 nt
Organism: Melopsittacus undulatus (budgerigar)
Lineage: Eukaryota; Metazoa; Chordata; Aves; Psittaciformes; Psittaculidae
Exons: 3
Source: RefSeq, a predicted model, not a curated record